RNAcentral lists this ribosomal RNA (503 nucleotides) under uncultured bacterium. RNAcentral's name for it is "bacterial SSU rRNA". It matches the Rfam family "Bacterial small subunit ribosomal RNA", at positions 355 to 850 of the family's 1533-position model. The record is from RNAcentral.
UGGGGAAUCUUGCGCAAUGGGCGAAAGCCUGACGCAGCGACGCCGCGUGAGUGACGAAGGCCUUCGGGUUGUAAAGCUCUGUGGGCAGAGACGAAUAAACGCGGGUGAACAAUCCGUGUGAUGACGGUAUCUGCAUAGCAAGCACCGGCUAACUCUGUGCCAGCAGCCGCGGUAAGACAGAGGGUGCAAACGUUGUUCGGAAUUACUGGGCGUAAAGCGCAUGUAGGCGGCCACGCAGGUCGGAUGUGAAAGCCCUCGGCUCAACCGGGGAAGUGCAUUCGAAACCGCGCGGCUCGAGUCCCGGAGAGGAAGGUGGAAUUCUCGGUGUAGAGGUGAAAUUCGUAGAUAUCGAGAGGAACACCGGUGGCGAAGGCGGCCUUCUGGACGAGGACUGACGCUGAGAUGCGAAAGCGUGGGGAGCAAACAGGAUUAGAUACCCUGGUAGUCCACGCCGUAAACGAUGGGUGCUAGGUGUUGCAGGUUUUGACCCCUGCCGUGCCGUA